RNAcentral lists this ribosomal RNA (315 nucleotides) under uncultured eukaryote. RNAcentral's name for it is "partial 18S ribosomal RNA". It matches the Rfam family "Eukaryotic small subunit ribosomal RNA", at positions 1470 to 1796 of the family's 1831-position model. The record is from RNAcentral.
CCCUUAGAUGUUCUGGGCUGCACGCGCGCUACACUGAAGCGUUCAACGAGUAUUCACCUUGCCCGGGAGGGUUGGGUAAUCUUUUGAAAACGCUUCGUGAUGGGGAUAGAUUAUUGCAAUUAUUAAUCUUCAACGAGGAAUUCCUAGUAAGCGCGAGUCAUCAGCUCGUGCUGAUUACGUCCCUGCCCUUUGUACACACCGCCCGUCGCUCCUACCGAUUGAAUGGUCCGGUGAAGCCUCCGGAUUGGCGCGCACCUCGGUGCCGCCGAGAAGUUGGCUAAACCUUACCAUUUAGAGGAAGGUGAAGUCGUANCA